Molecule: long non-coding RNA, 696 nt
Filed under: Ricinus communis (castor bean)
Lineage: Eukaryota; Viridiplantae; Streptophyta; Magnoliopsida; Malpighiales; Euphorbiaceae
Description: long non-coding RNA (RCOM_LNC001257)
Source: RNAcentral
CAUCCUUGGCACUACUCCCAAUACCAAUGUGGAUUAGCCCACCUAACACAUCAACACAUGCUCCUAACUUAAGAGUAUCAAUGGGGCAAGUUUCCUGCUUUGGUGGUGGAGGUGGACAUGGCACCGGAGGGGGUGGAGGAGGAGGGCAUGGGGUUUCUGGGGUUGGUGGCUUCGUAGGUGGGGUGAUCACUGGUGGCUUAGGCGGUAGGGUUGGUGGUGUAGGAGGUUUUAUAGGCGGAGUUACCACAGGAGGUUUAGGAAUAUACGGUGGUGACGAUGGUGGUGUUACAGGCGGAUUUGGUGGGUAAACAAUAGGUGGUUUUGGUACAAAAGGUGGUGGGUUCACUACAGGAGGUUUUGGUACAAAAGGUGGUGGGUUCACUACAGGAGGUUUUGGUACAAAAGGUGGUGGGUUCACUACAGGAGGUUUUGGUAUAUAGGGAGGACGAACGAUCGGAGGUUUGGGAAUGGUGGGUGGUUUGACAAUGGGUGGUUUAGGGACAUGGGGAGGUUUGGGAUGGGGUGGCUUGACAUGAGGAGGCUGUUUUGGUGGUUUAGGGUGAAAGGGUGGCUUUACUUUUGGAGGGUGUCUCGGUGGGUAUUUAGGAGGAUGCCCGGGCGGUGGCUUAGAGGGUGGAGUUGGGUAUGGACAGUAAGGGCAAGCAAGAGAAGUGAGCAAAGUGCCCAAGUUUAGAA